ACCUAACUGCAAAGGAGCCUGGGAAAUGGAUUUUAGUGACUGCAUAAAACUUUGCUAAAGUAAUCAUCAUUAUUAUUGCUCUCAUUUAUUACCAACUUUCUAGCUUGGGCUCUCAUCUUCAUGCACCUGGAAAGUCAUAAUAGCUUCCUCACUAGUCUUCCUGCCACCAGACUGUCCCCCCUCCCUAUACCCUUUCUCCACACCAAACCCAGAGUUAUUAUUGUCUAAAAUCCAAACCUGAUCAUCUCACUCACCAUUCCCCAACUGCCCGCUUAUGUCCUUCUGUGACUUCUCACUGCCUCAGAAUCCAGUCAGAGUCCUUGCACCAGGAUCCAGCCAAUACCUAUCCCUUUGGUCUCACCUCCAGGACCUUUUUUUUUAUUUUUUAUUUAUUUAUUUUAAUUUUUUUUAACGUUUAUUUAUUUUUGAGACAGAGUACGAACAGGGGAGGGUCAGAGAGAGAGGGAGACACAGAAUCUGAAACAGGCUCCAGGCUCUGAGCUGUCAGCACAGAGCCCGACGCGGGGCUCGAACUCACAGACUGUGAGAUCAUGACCUGAGCCGAAGUCGGACGCUCAACCGACUGAGCCACCCAGGCGCCCCCUCCAGGACCUUUUUAUCUUACAGCUGGCAUCUGUGACUGGACACUGUGGAUACUCUAGUGGAUAAGGUAGACAGGACCCUGCUUUAUGGACUUUACAUUUUAGUGAGCAGGUGACUUCCAAACCAUGGCUCAAGGUGGUUGCUUGAACUCCAUCCGUUAUACCUACAUCCCAGCCAUCAAAAGGAAACAGUUCAUUCUCAUCUACUGAAAAUGGACCUUGCUCAUAUGUUGAGAACCAAGGGAGUGGGCAUCCAACUUAAAGACCUUCAUCUCAUCAUUGAUUCAUUUGCCACGUGUUUGUUGAGUCCCUACCAUGUGCUAGGCCAGUGAACAAGACAGACAAGUCCUGGCCUCAUUCUGGUAGUGGAUAUGGAUAAUAAACAAAUACAUAAAUCAAGAUCCUUAGAAACUAGGAUCUUGUUUUUCAUUGUUUAUUAGGUAUGAUGAUGGAAAUGUGCAGACAGAUGAAAUACAGAGUAACUAGGAGACCUCAAUUUAUACUGGGUGGUCAGGGAAGGCUUCUCUGAAAAGCUGACAUCUAAGACCCCAUAGAUAAAUAAAGCAGACAUGAGCAUGACCCAGGGGGCCUCAAAGACCCCACGAUAGCUUCUUGAAGUAACAGAAGGGAGACCAGCAUCCCCGGUGCCAAGUGAGCAUAUGGAGAUGGUAAAAGAUGAGGCUAGGUGCUACAUCCAACAGAACUUCAUGGAUACAUCUUGGUUUUUCUAGAAGAGUCCUCAUUAUACCUGAGUCCCCACCAUAAAUAUUAAGAGCCACAGGUUGGAAGCUAAAUUUUUCAGUCACCUUGCAUAUGCAGCUACGGGAGUCAGG
Long non-coding RNA from Panthera uncia (snow leopard), 1435 nucleotides. RefSeq lists it as uncharacterized. The transcript has 3 exons. Lineage: Eukaryota; Metazoa; Chordata; Mammalia; Carnivora; Felidae. The record is from RefSeq and is a predicted model, not a curated record.